Molecule: ribosomal RNA, 375 nt
Filed under: uncultured bacterium
Lineage: Bacteria
Description: bacterial SSU rRNA
Rfam family: Bacterial small subunit ribosomal RNA
Source: RNAcentral
UACGUAGGGGGCGAGCGUUGUCCGGAAUUAUUGGGCGUAAAGCGCGCGCAGGCGGCGAUUUAAGUUCGGUGUUUAAGCUCGGGGCUCAACCCCGGAUCGCAUCGAAAACUGGAUGGCUUGAGUGCAGGAGAGGGAAGCGGAAUUCCACGUGUAGCGGUGAAAUGCGUAGAGAUGUGGAGGAACACCAGUGGCGAAGGCGGCUUCCUGGCCUGUAACUGACGCUGAGGCGCGAAAGCGUGGGGAGCAAACAGGAUUAGAUACCCUGGUAGUCCACGCCGUAAACGAUGAGUGCUAGGUGUCGGGGGUUUCGACACCCGCGGUGCCGAAGUUAACACAGUAAGCACUCCGCCUGGGGAGUACGGUCGCAAGACUGAA